CAAAUGUGCUAAAACAAAUGUCAGGAUCAUCACCCUCCAUCAAACAUCAGCCAGCUCAACCUCUGAUUCAUCCACACAACUAAACCUGCAAUAAAGCAACAAUUCAUUUUUACUUUGCUUUUUUCACAGUUAAUUACCUUUCCAAUUAUGAGUUCUUCCUUUUUUUGGAUACUAAAAUAUUCUUUUAUUGGAAGUCAACUAAGCUAAUAUUAUGAAAAGCCAGUUUGAGCUUCCCAUUAUUCCAUAAAGCAAACCUUGUGGCUGAAACUUAAUUAAACAUAGACAGUCUAUUUGACUUGGAAAUCUCACUUUUACUUUCAAGCAUUCUGAUAUCUCAACUUUCAACUGUAAGUAUUCAAAUUAACAAUCUCUGAGGCAAGUCCUGCAAGACUCACAUUCUUUUUGCUCUUCUUGCCUUUUCAGAUCCUUCCAGGUAAGUUCUUUGCGCAUGUCUCUUUCACUCCUUGAGUGCUUUGCCAUAAAGAAAAUGGCCAUAUGGGUUUUGACUAAAGCAACAAUUAUAGACACCCUCUUUGCACAGCAUUGGGACACUAGAGAUCUUUAAAUUGAAGAUGGAGGGGAGAAUGGAGAGCUGGCAUAAUGAAGCUCCAACCCAUAUUACUUUGUUUUCUGUUUUUCCUUUAUGUAGAUUCUGGUAAAAGUGGAGCUCAAAGAGAUUUACCCUGUAACAAAGCAAGGAGUAGGUCAAAAUGGCACAAUCUUGACACCCUCUUCCCCAUGGCAGAUGAGAAUACUGAAGAAUUCUGUACCUGCAAGUCCCGUGACAGCAAAGAUAUGGAGAGCAGAACGAGAAAGGAACAGCUAAAACGCUGCCAGAUUUUAAAGUGUUUGCCGUGAGUCUAAAUCAGGCACUAUCAAUAGGAUAGAGAAUCUUUGUAAAAUAAGGAACCGGUGUGAGUAGGCUGUUUAGUAGUCUUUCUAAAUAAAUUUCCCUUAAUUAAUACCUGUAACUUUAUUCCUUCACUGUCCGCAGAGCCAAAUAUUCCAGAAAAAAGUGAUCCAGGGACCCAGAUUCAAGGCUUCA
Manihot esculenta (cassava) is the source of this 1045-nucleotide long non-coding RNA. RefSeq lists it as uncharacterized. The transcript is spliced from 2 exons. The record is from RefSeq and is a predicted model, not a curated record. NCBI's taxonomy places the organism in Eukaryota, Viridiplantae, Streptophyta, Magnoliopsida, Malpighiales, Euphorbiaceae.